UUUUAUACGCCCGUCAAAAUUUUGACGGGACUUAUUAUAGUAUACAAAUGUCCGAUGUCUGUCCGUCUGUCCCUCUGUCUGUCCGGCGUAAACAUGUCGCACCGUAACUUGAGAACGACUUAUCCAAAUUUCAUGAAACUUAACAUAGUUGUUUCUUAUGAUGGUCAAAUGAUCUGUAUACUUUUUGGUGAAAAUAAAAUUAAAACUUUUUGAGUUACGGCACUUUGUAACUAAA
RNAcentral lists this long non-coding RNA (235 nucleotides) under Mytilus galloprovincialis (Mediterranean mussel). Lineage: Eukaryota; Metazoa; Mollusca; Bivalvia; Mytilida; Mytilidae. The record is from RNAcentral.